UGGGGAAUUUUGGACAAUGGGCGAAAGCCUGAUCCAGCAAUGCCGCGUGUGUGAAGAAGGCCUUCGGGUUGUAAAGCACUUUUGUCCGGAAAGAAAUCCUUGGCUCUAAUACAGUCGGGGGAUGACGGUACCGGAAGAAUAAGCACCGGCUAACUACGUGCCAGCAGCCGCGGUAAUACGUAGGGUGCAAGCGUUAAUCGGAAUUACUGGGCGUAAAGCGUGCGCAGGCGGUUUGCUAAGACCGAUGUGAAAUCCCCGGGCUCAACCUGGGAACUGCAUUGGUGACUGGCAGGCUAGAGUAUGGCAGAGGGGGGUAGAAUUCCACGUGUAGCAGUGAAAUGCGUAGAGAUGUGGAGGAAUACCGAUGGCGAAGGCAGCCCCCUGGGCCAAUACUGACGCUCAUGCACGAAAGCGUGGGGAGCAAACAGGAUUAGAUACCCUGGUAGUCCACGCCCUAAACGAUGUCAACUAGUUGUUGGGGAUUCAUUUCCCUAGUAACGUAGCUAACGCGUGAAGUUGACCGCCUGGGGAGUACGGUCGCAAGAUUAAAACUUAAAGGAAUUGAC
Molecule: ribosomal RNA, 566 nt
Filed under: uncultured bacterium
Lineage: Bacteria
Description: partial 16S ribosomal RNA
Rfam family: Bacterial small subunit ribosomal RNA
Source: RNAcentral